GUUUCAGCCGCCGCGGUAAUACGAAGGGGGCUAGCGUUGAUCGGAAUUACUGGGCGUAAAGCGCACGUAGGCGGGUUUGUAAGUAGGGGGUGAAAUCCCCGGGCUCAACCCGGGAACUGCCUUCUAGACUGCAAGCCUAGAGGUCAGGAGAGGCGAGUGGAAUUCCGAGUGUAGAGGUGAAAUUCGUAGAUAUUCGGAGGAACACCAGUGGCGAAGGCGACUCGCUGGACUGAUACUGACGCUGAGGUGCGAAAGCGUGGGGAGCAAACAGGAUUAGAUACCCUCGUAGUCC
RNAcentral lists this ribosomal RNA (292 nucleotides) under uncultured bacterium. RNAcentral's name for it is "partial 16S ribosomal RNA". It matches the Rfam family "Bacterial small subunit ribosomal RNA", at positions 505 to 796 of the family's 1533-position model. The record is from RNAcentral.